AAGGCUUCAGUACGACUAUGUCAGAACUAUAAGUCUCAAAGCCCCGACGAGUAGGGUGGCGUGCCGGUGAGCGUUGAAGGCCAAGACGUGAGUCAGGCUGGAGCCGCCGGUAGUGCAGAUCUUGGUGGUAGUAGCAAGUACUCUGGUGAACCAACCUGGAGCUGUGAGGUCUGGAUUAGGGUUCCAUGUCAACAGUGAUUGAACAUGGGUGAGUCGAUCCUAAGCCAACUGUGAAAGCAGUGACAUCCCGACAAUGGUGCAUUAGGGGGUGUGCCCGGCGCUCGCAUGCUCUAUCGCCUCCUCUCGAUAUUGGGCGUGAUAUAAGUAUCACGUUGGAUAGACUCUUACGCUCGAGGGCGUUGCUGGACCAAGAUGAAAGAGAGGCUGCUUGGGCGAAGAGCUUGCACUGAGCGUUUGAGAUGCGCACACUAUGCUCUCUGCGUUGGUUCUAUGUCCGGCGAAAGGGAAUGGGGACUUUGUUCCUUGACCGGUCCCGGCACCCUCGAUAGGCUUUAGCCGUUCAAUGGUCCAUGCAAAUGGAACCAGGCCAUAGCCGCCGGCAGUCGCCCGAGGAAGAGUUUUCUUUUCUGCUUAACGCACGAGAUCAUCCCUGGAAACAGUUCGGCUGGCGAAAGGGUGCCCCGCUGCGGCAGAGCGCCACGACUGUCGUGCGCGUCUCGGUGUACCUGCUGGUCCGUGAAGACGUGGUCGAGGGGUUGCACUUGUAUCAACGAAACGCCCGACAAGUUCGGGACGGACCGUACCCUAUAUCCGCAUCUGGUCUCCAAGGUUCGUAGCCUCUGCAGAGUCAGACACAUGUAGGUAAGGGAAGUCGGCAAACUCGAUCCGUAACUUCGGGAAAAGGAUUGGCUCUGAGGGCCGAGCUGGGCCGGGCCUUGCCAGCAAAGCAGUACCUAUAGUGACCGGAGUUUUAGGAGUGCGAGGGGCUCUAGUAGCUGCCUAUGGGCACGAACCAGUCUACCGCUCCGCUCCAACCACGAACGGCUGUGACGGCAAGGGCUCUGGGCGGGAGCAUUCAAACUGACUGACCUCCAGCUCGUCUGGGUGGUGGCGGUGCUUCGUCUGACCCAUACGGCUCCAGCAGCCAGCGGCUAACUCAGAACUGUCAUGGACCAAGGGAAUCCGACUGUCUAAUUAAAACAAAGCGUCGUGACGGCCCC
Molecule: ribosomal RNA, 1181 nt
Filed under: Niphargus sp. ND218
Lineage: Eukaryota; Metazoa; Arthropoda; Malacostraca; Amphipoda; Niphargidae
Description: partial large subunit ribosomal RNA
Rfam family: Eukaryotic large subunit ribosomal RNA
Source: RNAcentral